AACUUCUUUUUGGUAAACCUUUUCCCUGGCAUCCAUCAUGAGGCUGUGGCUUUCGAUUUGGCUUCUGUCCAUACUCAAUUUUCCGACACCUUGCCAUGAAAUAAGAAAUGGAAAAUUGGUGUGCCCAUGAUGGCUUUUUUCUCUCCGACUGAGGGGCUUAAACGGGGAAGGUGCAGUGGCUGGAAUGGAGACCCGAUUUGUGCCUUAAUUAUGAGUAAAAUUCUAUGAAACUAGCAUUAAAGGAAGUGCCGAUUA
This is a long non-coding RNA of Drosophila persimilis, 255 nucleotides long. RefSeq lists it as uncharacterized. The record is from RefSeq and is a predicted model, not a curated record. The transcript is spliced from 2 exons. Lineage: Eukaryota; Metazoa; Arthropoda; Insecta; Diptera; Drosophilidae.